ACAACCAUACAUAAAUCUUCCACUGAAUGUAAUAUCAGAGUUCUGCCAAUGUAUGGCUGCCUGCAAGAGUAUGUUACAUCUUUUUGAUCAAUGCCUAUUUCCACCUAUUUCUUCCUGUUUGCAUAGAAAGGCUUGUUUAUUCAACCCUCAUGGCAUGAGUGCCUCUUUGGUAGAAUGUGCUGGUCUUCUGUUUGCCUAACCCCAGUGUUUGACCCUUUGUAGUCCUUUCCAUAUGCAACAUGCAGGGACACACAUUUUCCUUUCUUUUCCAGAUAGAAAAACUUCACCGCCUAGUUCCAGCACCAAGUUUUGAAGAAUGAUAACAAGACAAAAAUAAGGGAUCAUCUUUUUUUCAUACUAAAUACUGACUUACCUAUGAAGGAUCCUCGGGUGUUUCCAGACAAAGCUUGUAGAAUGGCCUAUGCAGAAUGGCUUCUGUAGGUAUUGGAUCUGUCCACAAAAGUGAAGUAAGCUAAAAAUAGGGAGAAAAGAGAAGUGAAAGAACACAAGAAGAUGACAAAGUGAAGGUACACAGCCAAAUGCUUCUCUGAUCCUGCUCUUUCCUGUAAUGCAGGGAAUUGCCAUGCACACUGAGGCUGUGAGGAGGACACCAGAGAUGUGCAGCAAGUCUGGGAGGAAGAUUUGGGGCACUGAAGAGGGAGACCUUUGCAAACACUGAAAAAGGAUACACACACAUAUAUAAAGGAAACAUAAGCCUGAGUAUUUGACGAAUAAAAUAGGAACCAAGGGCAUUCA
Anolis sagrei ordinatus is the source of this 756-nucleotide non-coding RNA. The record is from RefSeq and is a predicted model, not a curated record. Lineage: Eukaryota; Metazoa; Chordata; Lepidosauria; Squamata; Anolidae.